AUUGAACGCUGGCGGCAGGCUCAACACAUGCAAGUCGAGCGGAGAUGAGGUGCUUGCACCUUAUCUUAGCGGCGGACGGGUGAGUAAUGCUUAGGAAUCUGCCUAUUAGUGGGGGACAACAUUCCGAAAGGAAUGCUAAUACCGCAUACGUCCUACGGGAGAAAGCAGGGGAUCUUCGGACCUUGCGCUAAUAGAUGAGCCUAAGUCGGAUUAGCUAGUUGGUGGGGUAAGGGCCUACCAAGGCGACGAUCUGUAGCGGGUCUGAGAGGAUGAUCCGCCACACUGGGACUGAGACACGGCCCAGACUCCUACGGGAGGCAGCAGUGGGGAAUAUUGGACAAUGGGGGGAACCCUGAUCCAGCCAUGCCGCGUGUGUGAAGAAGGCCUUAUGGUUGUAAAGCACUUUAAGCGAGGAGGAGGCUACUGAGACUAAUACUCUUGGAUAGUGGACGUUACUCGCAGAAUAAGCACCGGCUAACUCUGUGCCAGCCGCCGCCGUAA
Molecule: ribosomal RNA, 501 nt
Filed under: uncultured bacterium
Lineage: Bacteria
Description: partial 16S ribosomal RNA
Rfam family: Bacterial small subunit ribosomal RNA
Source: RNAcentral